RNAcentral lists this ribosomal RNA (386 nucleotides) under uncultured bacterium. RNAcentral describes it as "bacterial SSU rRNA". It matches the Rfam family "Bacterial small subunit ribosomal RNA", at positions 29 to 416 of the family's 1533-position model. The record is from RNAcentral.
AUUGAACGCUGGCGGCAUGCCUUACACAUGCAAGUCGAACGGUAACGCGGGGGCAACCCUGGCGACGAGUGGCGAACGGGUGAGUAAUACAUCGGAACGUACCCAGUAGUGGGGGAUAGCUCGGCGAAAGCCGGAUUAAUACCGCAUACGACCUAUGGGUGAAAGCGGGGGAUCGCAAGACCUCGCGCUAUUGGAGCGGCCGAUGUCGGAUUAGCUAGUUGGUGAGGUAAAGGCNCACCAAGGCUACGACCCGUAGCUGGUCUGAGAGGACGACCAGCCACACUGGGACUGAGACACGGCCCAGACUCCUACGGGAGGCAGCAGUGGGGAAUUUUGGACAAUGGGCGCAAGCCUGAUCCAGCCAUGCCGCGUGUGUGAAGAAGGCC